Molecule: ribosomal RNA, 553 nt
Filed under: uncultured bacterium
Lineage: Bacteria
Description: partial 16S ribosomal RNA
Rfam family: Bacterial small subunit ribosomal RNA
Source: RNAcentral
UAGGGAAUCUUCCACAAUGGACGCAAGUCUGAUGGAGCAACGCCGCGUGAGUGAAGAAGGUUUUCGGACCGUAAAGCUCUGUUGUUGGUGAAGAAGGAUAGAGGUAGUAACUGGCCUUUAUUUGACGGUAAUCAACCAGAAAGUCACGGCUAACUACGUGCCAGCAGCCGCGGUAAUACGUAGGUGGCAAGCGUUGUCCGGAUUUAUUGGGCGUAAAGCGAGCGCAGGCGGAAGAAUAAGUCUGAUGUGAAAGCCCUCGGCUUAACCGAGGAAUUGCAUCGGAAACUGUUUUCUUGAGUGCAGAAGAGGAGAGUAGAACUCCAUGUGUAGCGGUGGAAUGCGUAGAUAUAUGGAAGAAUACCAGUGGCGAAGGCGGCUCUCUGGUCUGCAACUGACGCUGAGGCUCGAAAGCAUGGGUAGCGAACAGGAUUAGAUACCCUGGUAGUCCAUGCCGUAAACGAUGAGUGCUAAGUGUUGGGAGGCUUCCGCCUCUCAGUGCUGCAGCUAACGCAUUAAGCACUCCGCCUGGGGAGUACGACCGCAAGGCUGAAAC